GCAUGGCUGGCGUGAGUGUGAGGUAGGCGGAAUGCGUUGUGUAGCGGUGAAAUGCAUAGAUAUGACGCAGAACUCCGAUUGCGAAGGCAGCUUACCAACACUUUACGGACGCUGAGGCACGAAAGCGUGGGUAUCGAACAGGAUUAGAUACCCUGGUAGUCCACGCAGUAAACGAUGAAUACUAAUUGUUCGGGGGUCAACCCCUGAGUGAUACAGCGAAAGCGUUAAGUAUUCCACCUGGGGAGUACGCCGGCAACGGUGAAACUCAAAGGAAUUGACGGGGGCCCGCACAAGCGGAGGAACAUGUGGUUUAAUUCGAUGAUACGCGAGGAACCUUACCCGGGCUCAAACGUUGGGGGAAUGCUCCUGAAAGGGAGCAGCCAGCAAUGGUCGCCAACGAGGUGCUGCAUGGUUGUCGUCAGCUCGUGCCGUGAGGUGUCGGCUUAAGUGCCAUAACGAGCGCAACCCCUGCGUCCAGUUACCAUCAAGUCAUGUUGGGGACUCUGGACGGACUGCCGGCGCAAGCCGUGAGGAAGGCGGGGAUGACGUCAAAUCAGCACGGCCCUUACGUCCGGGGCGACACACGUGUUACAAUGGCGUGGAACAGCGGGAAGCCACCUGGCGACAGGGAGCGGACCCCUAAAACACGUCUCAGUUCGGAUUGGAGUCUGCAACUCGACUCCAUGAAGCUGGAUUCGCUAGUAAUCGCGCAUCAACCAUGGCGCGGUGAAUACGUUCCCGGGCCUUGUACACACCGCCCGUCAAGCCAUGGGAGCCGGGAGUGCCUGAAGUACGUAACCGGAAGGAGCGUCCAAGGGUAACACUGGUGACUGGGGCUAAGUCGUAACAAGGUAACC
RNAcentral lists this ribosomal RNA (857 nucleotides) under uncultured bacterium. RNAcentral's name for it is "bacterial SSU rRNA". It matches the Rfam family "Bacterial small subunit ribosomal RNA", at positions 635 to 1501 of the family's 1533-position model. The record is from RNAcentral.